AGGGGUAUAGCUCAGUCGGUAGAGCAUCGGUCUCCAAAACCGAGGGUCGCAGGUUCGAGUCCUGCUGCCCCUGCCA
RNAcentral lists this transfer RNA (76 nucleotides) under Prosthecomicrobium pneumaticum. Its description in RNAcentral is "tRNA-Trp". It matches the Rfam family "tRNA". From Rfam's summary of the family: Transfer RNA (tRNA) molecules are approximately 80 nucleotides in length. Their secondary structure includes four short double-helical elements and three loops (D, anti-codon, and T loops). The record is from RNAcentral. Lineage: Bacteria; Pseudomonadati; Pseudomonadota; Alphaproteobacteria; Hyphomicrobiales; Kaistiaceae.